Molecule: ribosomal RNA, 727 nt
Filed under: uncultured fungus
Lineage: Eukaryota; Fungi
Description: SSU rRNA
Rfam family: Eukaryotic small subunit ribosomal RNA
Source: RNAcentral
UAGGAUAGAGGCCUACCAUGGUGGUAACGGGUAACGGGGUGUUAGGGCACGACACCGGAGAGGGAGCCUGAGAAACGGCUACCACAUCCAAGGAUGGCAGCAGGCGCGCAAAUUACCCAAUCCCGACACGGGGAGGUAGUGACAAUAAAUAACAAUACGGGGUUCUUUCGGAUCUCGUAAUUGGAAUGAGUACAAUUUAAAUCUCUUAACGAGGAACAAUUGGAGGGCAAGUCUGGUGCCAGCAGCCGCGGUAAUUCCAGCUCCAAUAGCGUAUAUUGAAGUUGUUGCAGUUAAAAAGCUCGUAGUUGAAUUUCGGGGUUAGUAGGUUGGUCAUGCCUCUGGUAUGUACUGAUCUCACUGAUUCCUCCUUCCUGAUGAACCGUAAUGCCAUUAAUUUGGUGUUGCGGGGAAUUUGGACUGUUACUUUGAAAAAAUUAGAGUGUUUAAAGCAAGCUAACGCUUGAAUACAUUAGCAUGGAAUAAUGAAAUAGGACGUUCGAUCCUAAUUUGUUGGUUUCUAGGAUUGACGUAAUGAUUAAUAGGGAUAGUUGGGGGCAUUAGUAUUCAAUUGUCAGAGGUGAAAUUCUUGGAUUUAUUGAAGACUAACUACUGCGAAAGCAUUUGCCAAGGAUGUUUUCAUUAAUCAAGAACGAAAGUUAGGGGAUCGAAGACGAUCAGAUACCGUCGUAGUCUUAACCAUAAACUAUGCCGACUAGGGAUCGGAUGA